AUCACAGUUGUCUUUUUCUUGUAAGUGAACGUGUGAUGGCCGAACGGAGGAGGACGAUGAAAUCAAUGGGUCUGUUUAGUGGUCAAAGAAUUGGGCAAAUUUUCUCCUUGAACCGAGAUCGGCUGUCAGAGAAAUCACGUGUUCACGUGACCAGACAGACAGGAAAGAACAUCAGAAUGAAAUUCUAUCAAAGACAAAUGACAGAGAAGAAUGGAAAAAGAAGGUUGACGGAUCUUGUGUGGUGCUCCAGCGGUGCACAGACCAAAGGAUAGGUGAAAGUGAAUGUGAAGUUAGAUGUGAACCUGGCCUAACUAAUGAAUAUAUAAUUGCUCUAAUUGUUUUGUAAAGGGACAAUCUCUUAUUCCUCAAGAAAAAACA
Long non-coding RNA from Biomphalaria glabrata, 378 nucleotides. RefSeq lists it as uncharacterized. The transcript has 3 exons. The record is from RefSeq and is a predicted model, not a curated record. NCBI's taxonomy places the organism in Eukaryota, Metazoa, Mollusca, Gastropoda, Planorbidae.